Molecule: ribosomal RNA, 301 nt
Filed under: uncultured bacterium
Lineage: Bacteria
Description: partial 16S ribosomal RNA
Rfam family: Bacterial small subunit ribosomal RNA
Source: RNAcentral
CAGUAGCCACGGUAAUACGAAGGGUGCAAGCGUUACUCGGAAUUACUGGGCGUAAAGCGUGCGUAGGUGGUGGUUUAAGUCCGUUGUGAAAGCCCUGGGCUCAACCUGGGAAUUGCAGUGGAUACUGGGUCACUAGAGUGUGGUAGAGGAUAGUGGAAUUUCCGGUGUAGCAGUGAAAUGCGUAGAGAUCGGAAGGAACAUCUGUGGCGAAGGCGACUAUCUGGGCCAACACUGACACUGAGGCACGAAAGCGUGGGGAGCAAACAGGAUUAGAUACCGAGUAGUCCCUGUCUCUUAUACA